GUAGGUGGCAAGCGUUGUCCGGAAUUAUUGGGCGUAAAGCGCGCGCAGGCGGGUUCUUUAAGUCUGAUGUGAAAGCCCACGGGCUCAACCGUGGAGGGUCAUUGGAAACUGGAGAACUUGAGUACAGAAGGGGAAAGCGGAAUUCCACGUGUAGCGGUGAAAUGCGUAGAGAUGUGGAGGAACACCAGUGGCGAAGGCGGCUUUCUGGUCUGUAACUGACGCUGAGGCGCGAAAGCGUGGGGAGCAAACAGGAUUAGAUACCCUGGUAGUCCACGCCGUAAACGAUGAGUGCUAAGUGUUAGGGGGUUUCCGCCCCUUAGUGCUGCAGCUAACGCAUUAAGCACUCCGCCUGGGGAGUACGACCGCAAGGUUG
RNAcentral lists this ribosomal RNA (373 nucleotides) under uncultured organism. Its description in RNAcentral is "partial 16S ribosomal RNA". It matches the Rfam family "Bacterial small subunit ribosomal RNA", at positions 527 to 896 of the family's 1533-position model. The record is from RNAcentral.